Odocoileus virginianus texanus is the source of this 943-nucleotide long non-coding RNA. RefSeq lists it as uncharacterized. Lineage: Eukaryota; Metazoa; Chordata; Mammalia; Artiodactyla; Cervidae. The record is from RefSeq and is a predicted model, not a curated record.
CCUGCCAUCUCAUCCUGUCACUUCCUUCUCCUCUUGCCCUCAAUCUUUUCCAGCAUCAGGGUCUUUUCCAAUGACUCUUGACUAUAACAUCUGGUCAGUUUUCCAGAUCAUUCCAUGUUUCUUCUAUGCUUGCAAUAAUCUUCUUCACCUUCUUCAAGGUUUUCUAUAUGUUUCUUUUCAAAUAACCUAAAGAAGCUGACCGGGAUACUUUUAUUGAGUUCCAGUCUGUAAAGGAGUGAAAAUUUAGAAGUAGCAACUCAUGGAUCAUCCUUCUUAAAUAUAAAGAAAUCUAUCAGCACCGUCAUUUCUCAUCAACAUUGAGAAGUGUUUUACAUCAGACCAUUAUGCAAUCUUCCCCAACUAGACUGCCUUUCACCUUCAUCUAUACUAAGCCAAGGUCCUCCCAGCCAAAAGAAAUGAAAAGCACCACCUCCUCCAGGAAGACUUUCUUUCUUUGAGAGUGUGUUCCCCUUAUUCUUCACCCAAUGAAGAAUCAUAGUAAUAAAUUAUGAAAUGUCUCCCAAGACAAAUGCCGUAUAUGGAACAGGAGUGGGGGAUUCAGAAGAAACGAAACUCUAUGAUUUGUGAGGAAGAGAUCAGAGAAGACUUCGUGGAAGAGAGGCCAUUUCAGUUGGUUUGUAAGGGUCAGGUAUAAUUUGAGGAAGCAGAGAUUCAGGAGACAGAUUAUCCAACUGUGAACCCAGUGACAAAUGGAGAACAUUUCUGCACCUCUUCCUUGGGACUCCAAUAUGAAUUCCAGGCAUUUGUUGGAUAUUCCACCGGAAAUGGUAAGCUUCUUAGAGCAGGAACAAUGAUUUUACAUUUUAUUUACUUAUCCCCGCAGAGAAGCCAAUAAAAAUAGAAUGAAAACUUUUGUUGAUCACCUGGGCUUAUGUGGAAACCAUUCUUAUAACUGAAAGCUUAAUCAUACACUUAAAAAACA